Dermacentor silvarum is the source of this 1543-nucleotide long non-coding RNA. RefSeq lists it as uncharacterized. NCBI's taxonomy places the organism in Eukaryota, Metazoa, Arthropoda, Arachnida, Ixodida, Ixodidae. The transcript is spliced from 3 exons. The record is from RefSeq and is a predicted model, not a curated record.
UUUUACACCGGUUCCGAAACUUUGGGCGGUCGUUCGUGCACUUCGCUUCGCCUGCAGCGGAGUUUUCGAGUGGUGAACUUCGGUUAUUUUUGCAAGAAUGGCAGUAACAACACCACUUUAUAACCGUCAGUGUCACUGAUGGCAGGCAAGCCACCUACGAAAGAAGCAGCAGCCAUGGGCAAGACGAUUGGAACCCACAGUGGAAAUUUCCAUUGUGACAAUACGCUUCCUUGCUUCCUUUUGGAACUGCUGCCAGAGUAUAGGGACACCACUGUGGUUAGUUUUUUCCCCGGCGUCGAUGCUACCAUUUGGAGGUAAUCAUAAAUAUUCUACUUACCACCUGCACCCCCUGUGGCUGGCGCUGCACCCGUCGCCCGGCUGCCUGUGGUGCGAGCACGAAUGGGCUGAUAUGGCCCAUAGGCUUUGAAAAUGCCGACGCUAUGAGGAAGAAGGACCAAGAGGAAGGGGGAAGACAAGAGCAGGACCCUCUGAAGCGGGGCGCCUCGUUGAGAGAUGGCAAGCCGCCCUCCUCAGCGGCCCACCAGGAGUGGGCCGUCCAGCGGGCCACGGCCAUUGGCGAGGAUCUCGGAAGAUUUUUCUCUGGCGAUGGACCCCUGGCAGCCUAGCCCCGGGCACCAACAGCCAUAACCGUUGGACAAAUAAAGUUUAUUCCUAUCCUAUUCAUGCUUCUAUAGUACAGUAUAAGGUUGUUUGCUUUCUUUUUUUUUAUCCUACUGUGGACGUACUUCAGUACAGUGUAAUCAGACCGAUUGUUAUGCGUGUUGACAUUCCUGUUUCCGACAGUUCUGUGCAAGAUUACUGCCUAGAGUUGUUGCGUAUCUGCCUACAACAUACAAAACAUCUUAUGUUGAUUUUGUGUGCUCUCUAAUAGUUCUGUCGUGUAAGGUGGCAUCAUUUUUCAAAAUAAACAUUUCAAUGUAGCAUAUCACACUUUGUCCUAAAAUUAGUUUGGUAAUUGCGGAGCCACAUUAUUCCAAUUUAGAAGCAAAUAUUGCCAGCUUAAGCUUUUAGUGGUAGAACUUGCACCCCUGCUUUUAAAUGUUCCUAUAUGUGUAUAUUUUUUUGCCUAGGUGUCUUUCACCACUUCCUCAAAAGGACAUACUCUGGUAAAAUUGUACUGAAAUCUCUGGGAAUCAAGAUAGCUGACCUAAUGAUCUCAAAAGAGGAAUCUAAAUAUACAUGCUGUGCUUAUAAUAAAUACUUCUAGAAAUUUUAGCAAUUAUACCUGCUCUCCAUUCUGUAUCUGGUGCAUUGCAACAUUUUCUUUCACACCAAUAGACCUAUUGGACUAUUACACGAAUCGAUCGAUUAGACUAAUACACUAAUAGACGUAAUUGACUGUAUUAGUGUCAACAGCCUCAUAGACUAUUAGUUCUUGUGUUACAGUUCUUGUUAGGGAAUGUUUCUUACAAACAUGGCAGUCUAAUUAAAAGUACCUUUAGCUCAAGUUAGAAUUCCAAACCCAUUGAACCGUCUAAUUAGUUCUUGACUUCAUAACCUUCUGGCCAAUUGAGCCAAGCAU